This 386-nucleotide ribosomal RNA is filed under the name uncultured bacterium. RNAcentral's name for it is "bacterial SSU rRNA". It matches the Rfam family "Bacterial small subunit ribosomal RNA", at positions 28 to 412 of the family's 1533-position model. The record is from RNAcentral.
GACGAACGCUGGCGGUAUGCUUAACACAUGCAAGUCGAACGAGACAAAGGUGCUUGCACCUUUUGAAAGUGGCGAACGGGUGAGUAACGCGUGGGUAACCUACCCUCUGGAAAGGAAUAGCCCCGGGAAACUGGGUGUAAUACCUUAUAAGAUACGUUUGUCGCAUGGCAUCUGUAUUAAACGCUCCGGCGCCAGAGGAUGGACCCGCGUCCCAUUAGCUAGUUGGUGAGAUAACAGCUCACCAAGGCGACGAUGGGUAGCCGGUCUGAGAGGGCGAACGGCCACACUGGAACUGAGACACGGUCCAGACUCCUACGGGAGGCAGCAGUGGGGAAUAUUGCGCAAUGGGGGCAACCCUGACGCAGCAAUACCGCGUGAGUGAAGAA